Molecule: ribosomal RNA, 450 nt
Filed under: uncultured bacterium
Lineage: Bacteria
Description: partial 16S ribosomal RNA
Rfam family: Bacterial small subunit ribosomal RNA
Source: RNAcentral
GUGGGGAAUUUUGGACAAUGGGCGCAAGCCUGAUCCAGCAAUGCCGCGUGCAGGAAGAAGGCCUUCGGGUUGUAAACUGCUUUUGUACGGAACGAAACGGUCCGGGUUAAUACCCUGGGCUAAUGAUGGUACCGUAAGAAUAAGCACCGGCUAACUACGUGCCAGCAGCCGCGGUAAUACGUAGGGUGCAAGCGUUAAUCGGAAUUACUGGGCGUAAAGCGUGCGCAGGCGGUUUUGUAAGACAGGCGUGAAAUCCCCGGGCUCAACCUGGGAAUUGCGCUUGUGACUGCAAGGCUGGAGUGCGGCAGAGGGGGAUGGAAUUCCGCGUGAAGCAGUGAAAUGCGUAGAUAUGCGGAGGAACACCGAUGGCGAAGGCAAUCCCCUGGGCCUGCACUGACGCUCAUGCACGAAAGCGUGGGGAGCAAACAGGAUUAGAAACCCCAGUAGUCC